This 1651-nucleotide ribosomal RNA is filed under the name marine metagenome. RNAcentral's name for it is "bacterial LSU rRNA". It matches the Rfam family "Bacterial large subunit ribosomal RNA", at positions 434 to 2108 of the family's 2925-position model. The record is from RNAcentral.
CCGUGUGAAUCUGCGAGGACCACCUCGUAAGGCUAAAUAUUCCUGAAUGACCGAUAGUGAAACAGUACCGUGAGGGAAAGGUGAAAAGAACCCCGGGAGGGGAGUGAAAAGAACAUGAAACCAUAAACUUACAAGCAGUAGGAGGACGACUAAAACGUCUGACUGCGUGCCUGUUGAAGAAUGAGCCGGCGACUUAUAGUUAGUGGCAGGUUAAGGUAGUGAAUACUGAAGCCACAGUGAAAGCGAGCCUGAAUAGGGCGUUUGUCACUAGUUAUAGACCCGAACCCGGAUGAUCUAACCAUGGUCAGGUUGAAGCUUAGGUAAUACUAAGUGGAGGACCGAACCGACUGAUGUUGAAAAAUCAGCGGAUGAAUUGUGGUUAGGGGUGAAAUGCCAAUCGAAUUCGGAGCUAGCUGGUUCUCCCCGAAAUGCGUUUUGGCGCAGCGGUAGAUGUUAUAGUUUAGGGGUAAAGCACUGUUACGUAUGCGGGCUGGUAAUUCGGUACCAAAUCGUUGCAAACUAAGAAUGCUAAAUGUAAAGUUUACCAGUAAGACUGUGGGGGAUAAGCUCCAUUGUCAAGAGGGAAACAGCCCAGAGCACCAGUUAAGGCCCUUAAAUAAUUACUAAGUGGUAAAGGAGGUGGGAGUGCAUAAACAAUCAGGAGGUUUGCUUAGAAGCAGCAAUCCUUUAAAGAGUGCGUAAUAGCUCACUGAUCGAGUAAACCUGCGCCGAAAAUGAACGGGACUAAGUAAUUUGCCGAAACUGUGCGAUAUAUAGAAAUAUAUCGGUAGGGGAGCGUUCUGUUGUAGGUCGAAGUAUUAGCGUAAGCGGAUAUGGACGAAGCAGAAGUGAGAAUGUCGGCUUGAGUAACGAAAAUAUAGGUGAGAAUCCUAUACCCCGAAAACCCAAGGUUUCCUCCGGAAGGCUCGUCCGCGGAGGGUAAGUCAGGACCUAAGGCGAGGCUGAAAAGCGUAGUCGAUGGACAACGGGUUAAUAUUCCCGUACCGUUUUUUAUUGAUAUCGAGGGACGGAGAAGGCUAAGCUAGCCGGAUAUUGGUUUUACCGGUUUAAGCGUUCAAGAUGUUGAGAAGCGGCGAAAACGCUUUGAGUUGAGACGUGAGUACGAGACGCUAAGGCGUUGAAGUGGUGUAUGUCAUACUUCCAAGAAAAGCUUGCACUGUCAUAAAUAAAAAAUGCCUGUACCAUAACCGACACAGGUGGGUAGGUAGAGUAUACUAAGGGGCGCGAGAUAACUCUCUCUAAGGAACUCGGCAAAAUGACUCCGUAACUUCGGGAGAAGGAGUGCCUUAUUCGUAAGGCUGCAAUAACAAGAUCCAAGCAACUGUUUAUCAAAAACACAGGUCUCCGCUAAGUCGUAAGACGAUGUAUGGGGGCUGACGCCUGCCCAGUGCCAGAAGGUUAAAGAAGUUGGUUAGCAUUAGCGAAGCUGAUAACUGAAGCCCUGGUGAACGGCGGCCGUAACUAUAACGGUCCUAAGGUAGCGAAAUUCCUUGUCGGGUAAGUUCCGACCCGCACGAAAGGCGUAAUGAUUUGGAUACUGUCUCGGAGAGGGGCUCGGUGAAAUAGACUUGUCUGUGAAGAUGCGGACUACCUGCACCAGGACAGAAAGACCCUAUGAAGCUUUACUGUA